AAUUUUUAUAAUGGAAGACCAGUUUACUGGAAGUGUCUCUUUGGGGUUCCUGUCUGAGGGAAAAUAACUGACUCUGUGGAAGCAAUGAGACUCUGCCUCUGGGAUUCCUCUUUUCCAUCCAUCUGAUCUACACCGAGAGAUUUAUCCACCAGAGAUCAUCUGUUCCUGUCAACUGUGUUCCUGAUUUCCAGAGUCUUAAACAUAUUAGAUUUAUUGACAAGAGCUGACCUGAGAAGCUAAAAUCUGUCUUUCGUCAAACUGAAGCCUGCAGCCUCUUGGCUGGACCCUGUGGAGAACUUUGCCAGUUUCUCCAUUCUGCAUGAGUUACCUGAACUAGAUUUCCUCUACAAAAUAUUAUUUGGUGGAGGGCAAUAGACAGGAUAGCUAGAUAGAUUUGGGGUUUCAGAGAUAGAGUAGUUUUAAGGAACAUCAAGAACCAGAAGAGGACCCUGUGAAGGGCUGUAGUUUUGGGAAUAUAUAGAGAGAAUUAUAGUUUAGGGAAUUUCCUUUGGCCCUCCUUCUGUUUCCCUAUUUAAAUAUUUUCCACCCAAAACCCAUUUUUUGCAUAAGGAAAAGCAGUCAGAUUGCAUUUGUCACUGGGUAAGACCUGAGAACUUCUAGUUCAGCCUACCAGCCUGACCCAGACAGAGACACUAGUUAUCAAAUUAAGAUCUUGAAAAGUGGAACAACUCACAUUAUUCAUGAGUAUUCUGGGAACAAAUAUGUUCCGUGUAGUUCAUUUACUAAGAGAAACCAUCGCCAGAAAAUAAUAUGUUCCUGGUGAGAGACUAUUCCAAUGUCACAUAUUUGUCAAAAAGAAAACUUGGGAGCAAUUUAAAAAGGACCUAAUUGAAUUCCUCACUUAAACCAAAUUGUAUCAUGACUUUUGAAGCUGUCAACUACCAUAAUAGUUUUAUGACCUUCAGCUGCCCAUUCAGCACUGACACAGAAGUCAAACACACCUCAUGCUUCCUAAUUCCUAAUUAUUAUAUUCUCUUUACUCCACCCUCUAUACUGCUAUUGCAUGCUGACAUUUGGACUGACAUCAAGAUUCUGAGGACUCCAGACUCCUAG
RNAcentral lists this long non-coding RNA (1074 nucleotides) under Monodelphis domestica (gray short-tailed opossum). RNAcentral's name for it is "lncRNA (ENSMODG00000042437.1)". The record is from RNAcentral. Lineage: Eukaryota; Metazoa; Chordata; Mammalia; Didelphimorphia; Didelphidae.